This is a non-coding RNA of Manis javanica (Malayan pangolin), 436 nucleotides long. The record is from RefSeq and is a predicted model, not a curated record. Lineage: Eukaryota; Metazoa; Chordata; Mammalia; Pholidota; Manidae.
AGGGCCCACAUCGGCAGCUCCUUUCUGCUGGGUAGGUUGUCUUCUGCGUUCCAGGGUCCAUUUGGCCUGCUUCCUAAACUACCGUGAGGUAACCUGCUUUGGUGACUGUGUUCAGGCUCAACCACACGUGGAGUACAGCACCCCGAGGGCAGACUGUGCAGCUCCUGGGAGCCCUGAGCUGGUCCCAGCAGAGACCCCAGGGAGGAGUCAGCUUCAUGAGCAGCAGCAGUGGUUCUGAACAAAUUGUCCUAAGUGUGAGAAUGCGCAUCUGGAAUUACUUAAAAGAAAAGGUCCACCUUAGCCAACGGCUGUGGCCACAGUUGGCAACUAUGCAUACCUGGACCACGCGACUGGAGGGAUGGGAAUGAAAGUGCAAGCGCCCGGGUGCCACCGACAGCAAAUGGAAUCAAGCUGCUCCUUCAGGACAAGCCGGAGC